CCUACGGGUGGCAGCAGUGGGGAAUAUUGGGCAAUGGAGGCAACUCUGACCCAGCAACGCCGCGUGAAUGAUGAAGGUCUUCGGAUUGUAAAGUUCUUUUCUUAGGGGAGUAGAAAGUGACGGUACCUUAGGAAUAAGCCUCGGCUAACUACGUGCCAGCAGCCGCGGUAAUACGUAGGCGGCAAGCGUGAUCAGGAAUGAAUCGGCGUAAAGGGUGCGUAGGUGGUUUGACAAGUUAGUAGCGCAACUCCGGGGCUCAACUUCGGAACUACUACUAAAACUGUUGGACUUGAGUGCAGGGAGGGCAAGCGGAAUUCCUAGUGUAGCGGUGGAAUGCGUAGAUAUUAGGAGGAACACCAGUGGCGAAGGCGGAUUGCGAGACUGUAACUGACACUGAGGCACGAAGGCGUGGGUAGCGAACAGGAUUAGAUACCCUGGUAGUC
This 443-nucleotide ribosomal RNA is filed under the name uncultured bacterium. RNAcentral describes it as "partial 16S ribosomal RNA". It matches the Rfam family "Bacterial small subunit ribosomal RNA", at positions 338 to 795 of the family's 1533-position model. The record is from RNAcentral.